AGCAGCAGAUAAAAAGCACAGACACCCCUCCUAUCUUUUAGUGCUACCAAUUAUUUGAGCAGCAGGCGAAUCGGCCCCCACGCCGAAGAGAACGAAGGAGCUACGGUUAACGGGAGGUUCCUUUAGAGGGCGAAGGGGUUGAAUGAAAAAUCUGUCUUAUAAAAUAGAAAAAACAAAACGUAAGCAUUCGCGAAGCUUGUUUGCCAUUUCUUCCUUUUUUCUUUCCUUUUUUUCUUUUUUUUCUAGUCUACGGGUAACAAUUCUAGAAUUUGACUGCAAUUUAAAUUCCCACCCACCACUCGUCCCUUCGCUUUUAAAUACAUCACUCACCUCCACUUGUCGGGGGGGUGUUUCGCCAGGAAGCAGGAGGAAAUUCCUCUCUGACCUGGAGGAAAAGUGGGCGCACACCGCAGACAGGGUCCUUCCAGUCCUUGAGAUGUUUGAGUUGGAGAAGCAGGACUGACAGAAGGAGCAUGGUCAAACACCAACCCCUGCAAGUCUAUGAGCGCCAGCUGUGUUUGUCUUGUAUCACCGGGAUCUACGGUUGCCGCUGGAAACGCUAUCAACGCUCCCAUGAUGACACCACCAAGUGGGAGCUUCUGUGGUCCCUCAUCCUCCUUUUUACGUUCUGUGCUCUGCUGGUCUGGUUUUACUUCUGGUUGGAAGCUCACAACGACUACAAUGAGUUUAACUGGUUCCUCUACAACCGCUCUGGCGAGUGGAGCGAUGGCACCGUUCCAAUCUUGGCCACUACUGCUGCUGGCUUUACCUACAUAGCCUUUUUAAUGGUUUUAGCCCUUUGUCAUGUUGCACUUGGCCAACAGCUGAAUUUGCAUUGGCUGCAUAAGAUAGGAGUCACAGUGGCUCUACUUACAACUGUUGUCGGGGUGAUAUCCAUCAAUCAAACAUGGCAGCAUGAGUGGGACAUCAUCCCAAUCUCCCUGCAGGCCACAGGACCAUUUCUGCACAUCGGUGCCGUCGCUGCUGUCACAGCUUUGUCCUGGAUAGUAGCCGGACAGGUCUCUGGGGCAGAUAAGACGUCAUUCCAGGUGGUGGUCAUGCUACUGUAUCUCUGCGUGUUACUGGGCCUAUAUGCUGUGCCGCUGUACAUCACCUCUCCUUGCAUCAUAGACCCCAGCAAUCUCCGGCCCCGUCCUAAUGUUAUUGGUCACCAGGGGGCCCCUAUGCUUGCGCCAGAAAACACAAUGUGGUCCUUUCAGCGAGCACUGCAAAUGAACGUCACCGGGUUGGAGGCUGACGUCACAAUCAGUGUUGAUGGUGUUCCAUUCCUGAUGCACGACCACACCCUGCGCAGGACCACUGAUGUAGAGAAAAUUUUUCCCGAUAGGCAGAUGGAGGAGGCCUCUCGCUUCAAUUGGACCAAUCUGGAGCAGCUAAAUGCGGGACGUUGGUUCCUCAAGGAUGACCCCUUCUGGACGAUACACACACUCUCGCCCCACGAAAGGAACUUGAUUGCUAACCAGAGUGUAUGCAACCUGGAGCAGCUUCUAAAGCUAGCUUCUUAUCAUAACACCACUGUGGUGUUCAAACUCAGGAGACCUCCUUUUGGUCACCCCUGUUACGACAGCUGGAUCAAUGACACUCUGCAGGCUGUGGAGCGUUCUGGGAUUCCUCAAAAUCUGGUAAUGUGGACUCCAAAUAAAGACAGAGAUCAGGUGAGACAGCUUGCACCUGGUCUUGUCCAGACAUCCUUGGAAAAAAAAAGUCCUCAAAGCCUCAAAGAGUCAGGAAUCAGCAGGCUCCUGCUCAGAUACAACCAGGCCAGCACUCAGGAAAUCAGGGAUUUGGCAGAGAAAAACAUUAGCCUCACAGUCUACACGGUCAACGAGCCCUGGCUUUACUCAGUACUGUGGUGUAGUGGUGUGUCUUCUGUGUCAUCUGAGGCACCACAUAUCCUCAAAAAGGUGCCUUACCCCAUCUGGCUCUUGAGAGCAGAUGAAUACUGCAUGAUGUGGGUGUGUGCUGACCUCACCUCCUUUGUGGUGGUUAUAGGAAUAUUCAUUUUACAGAACUAUCACAUGAUCAGGUAUCGUACCAGCGGCAUGCGCAGCUACAACCCAGAGCAGAUCAUGCUGAGUGCCGCCGUGAGGAGGUCCAGUCGGGACCUCAACGUCAUGAAGGAGAAGCUCAUUUUCUCCGGUCAAGCCCGGUAGUCGCCUCAUCCUGUGCAUCCUCCCAUGUGUGAUGUGCCAAUCGUCUCCACCAUCAUCCUUUUUAAUUCCAUGUCUCCCUCGCUACCUGCUGCCUCUUUUCCGCAUCCUACAUCCCUUCGUGCAACCUUCCACCCUCGCCCCCUACACUCCCUUAUGGGGAGAGUACCAUGCUUUGGGAAGCUUAUAUGUGGCCCAGUCUGUCUUACACUGGGGGGUUUGAGAAGUCGGGAACAGCGUCGGGAGCGGCGAGGAGCCUUAACCAGAUAUGACUAUGACUACUAAGCCGACAGAAGUGCAAGCCACUGAUGGAGGAAGCUAGCCGUCUGUUGUCUUGUGUACAUUUUGUAAAUAGGCUUCGGCUUGCCCGACGCGUAUUGUACUCUGCACUUUUAAAUCCGUGGAAUUCAUAUGGCUUGUGUGUCAUUUUUAAUAGUAUAAUGAGUCCAUAUCCUUUUCAAGCUCAUUUUCACAAAAAGCAGCUCCUUCCAUUUUAAGCACUGAUGCCUUUUUAUAUUUAAAUAUAUAAUCAACCUGUAUUUCAGAAGAUGAAAUGCUUUGAGCUCAUCUUUCUUUCAUCCUCCCACUCUGCUGUGGAUCCUGAUGUACAAUACUGUAUAUCCAAAGUGUGAAACAAAGGGUGUAAAUGCUGUCUAAAGUCCUCCGAGUGCAUGAACAGUUAUGAUUAUGUAAAACAUGUGAGCUGUACAGCUGGGACAAGAAAGUGUUACUCGUCUUUUGAAACCACUUCUAGUAUGUAUUCAAGUUGGUUGUAUGCGUGUCUGGGUGUGCUUAAGCUUGUGUGCUGAGUUGUACAUGUGAUACUAUAUAAACAUAAAAACUGCAAGCCAACAAAGGUCAUUUUGAGUCAUUUGACUGUAUUGAUUGAACUUAUUUCAUUUGGCUGCAGUCAAGUCGACAGCGGGUGAUGUUUACAAACCAAAACUAUAUUCAUGUAGGUUGCUGCUGUAAAAAUGUUGAAGUGUGAAUACAACUAAGUUAACUAAAGGGACACUAAUGGGGGCAACAUGCCUUACGUGUUAAAUUUCCUCAUUGAAUUGUACUGUGCCUCAGAAGUUUAAUAAAAUUAGAACAACUACUUGUCCAGUCUUUUAAGAUGAUAUUGCACAUUACUGUGAUUUCAUGUCAAAUGUCAUUGAUAUUUUCGUUUUAUAUCAUUUUUACAAAAGUUCAUAUACUGUUUUGUUUUGACAGGUGAUACAUUUUCCUUCAAUAAUUUCACAUUUUACUCAUCACAUAAGUUGUAAUAAAAUUUUCAGUAUUUUUUUCCCCCCCAAAUGUAUAAUAAAGUAAGCCGAAAAGCCUGGAAAAUGGAUCUAAAAAUGACUGAAUUUGACUUAGUGUUUUCACAAAAUUAUUGAUUGGCAGUUUGCAUUUUUCAAUAUUUAACCAUCUGAUGCCUGAAUUAUGAAAGCCAAGGUUGAUUU
Molecule: RNA transcript, 3619 nt
Organism: Corythoichthys intestinalis (scribbled pipefish)
Lineage: Eukaryota; Metazoa; Chordata; Actinopteri; Syngnathiformes; Syngnathidae
Gene: gdpd5b
Gene name: glycerophosphodiester phosphodiesterase domain containing 5b
Exons: 18
Source: RefSeq, a predicted model, not a curated record